UAACAAGGAUUCCCCUAGUAACUGCGAGUGAAGCGGGAAAAGCUCAAAUUUAAAAUCUGGCGGUCUUCAGCCGUCCGAGUUGUAAUCUGGAGAAGCGUUUUCCGUGGCGGACCGUGUACAAGUCUCUUGGAACAGAGCGUCAUAGAGGGUGAGAAUCCCGUCCAUGACACGGACUACCGUUGCUUUGUGAUACGCUCUCGAAGAGUCGAGUUGUUUGGGAAUGCAGCUCAAAAUGGGUGGUAAAUUCCAUCUAAAGCUAAAUAUUGGCGAGAGACCGAUAGCGAACAAGUACCGUGAGGGAAAGAUGAAAAGCACUUUGGAAAGAGAGUUAAACAGUACGUGAAAUUGUUGAAAGGGAAACGCUUGAAGUCAGUCGCGUCGUCCGGGACUCAGCCUUGCUCUUGCAUGGUGUACUUCCCGUUCGACGGGUCAACAUCGAUUUUGACCGGCGGAUAAAGGCGGGGGGAAAGUGGCACCUUCGGGUGUGUUAUAGCCCCUCGUUGUAUGCGUCGAUUGGGAUCGAGGACCGCAGCAGCCGCAAGGUUCCGCUAUUAAGAUGUUGGCAUAAUGGCUUUAAGCGACCCGUCUUGAAACACGGACCAAGGAGUCUAACAUGCUCGCGAGUGUUAGGGUGGAAAACCCUUGCGCGUAAUGAAAGUGAAAGUUGGGACCCUUGUCAUGAGGGGCACCGACGCCCGGCUCUGACCUUCUGCGACGAUGCUGCGGUAGAGCGCGUAUGUUGGGACCCGAAAGAUGGUGAACUAUGCCUGAAUAGGGCGAAGCCAGAGGAAACUCUGGUGGAGGCUCGUAGCGAUUCUGACGUGCAAAUCGAUCGUCAAAUUUGGG
This 846-nucleotide ribosomal RNA is filed under the name Kneiffiella eucalypticola. Its description in RNAcentral is "Kneiffiella sp. XWW-2020a partial large subunit ribosomal RNA". It matches the Rfam family "Eukaryotic large subunit ribosomal RNA", at positions 66 to 915 of the family's 3401-position model. Lineage: Eukaryota; Fungi; Basidiomycota; Agaricomycetes; Hymenochaetales. The record is from RNAcentral.